RNAcentral lists this small RNA (330 nucleotides) under Pan troglodytes (chimpanzee). Its description in RNAcentral is "retained intron". The record is from RNAcentral. Lineage: Eukaryota; Metazoa; Chordata; Mammalia; Primates; Hominidae.
GCGCAGGCGCGGAAUCUCCGACUCGCCAUGGUCGUCUUUGUCUGCUGGCCUGCUUCCUUGUACAUCCACAGGAGCUGCAAAACCUCUUAGAGUUCUAAGGGCCCUCCCUGAAUUUUGGGAUGCUGCUUUGUUCCCCAACCAUAACAUCCAAGUCCAGUGUCAUUUUUCUGCUCACAAGUUUAAAGUCAGCACUUAAAAGAACAGCAACAGAUGAUUGAGAAAGAAAUGUAAAGAAGGUUCUCUUUGUGUGAGUAAGCAAGAACCUGGUAGGUAUGAAUGAGAUAAAGACUUAUUGCAGUUAUUCAGUGAGAAUUUGCAGCCUCUGAGUUG